CAAGGAUCCGGGUGUGACUCCCGCGGGGCUCUUCCGGCCGCCGAUCCGCCGGACAAGC
Molecule: non-coding RNA, 58 nt
Filed under: Jannaschia seosinensis
Lineage: Bacteria; Pseudomonadati; Pseudomonadota; Alphaproteobacteria; Rhodobacterales; Roseobacteraceae
Description: sul1 RNA
Rfam family: sul1 RNA
Source: Rfam by way of RNAcentral